GACGAACGCUGGCGGCGUGCUUAACACAUGCAAGUCGAACGGAAAGGCCCUGCUUUUGUGGGGUGCUCGAGUGGCGAACGGGUGAGUAACACGUGAGUAACCUGCCCUUGACUUUGGGAUAACUUCAGGAAACUGGGGCUAAUACCGGAUAGGAUCUCCUGCUGCAUGGUGGGGGUUGGAAAGUUUCGGCGGUUGGUGAUGGACUCGCGGCUUAUCAGCUUGUUGGUGGGGUAGUGGCUUACCAUGGCUUUGACCGGUAGCCGGCCUGAGAGGGUGACCGGCAAAAUUGGGACUGAGAUGCGGCACAGACUACUACGGGAGGCAGCAGUGGGGAAUAUUGCACAAUGGGAGGAAGCCUGAUGCAGCAACGCCGCGUGCGGGAUGACGGCCUUCGGGUUGUAAACCGAUUUCGCCUGUGACGAAGCGUGAGUGACGGUAAUGGGUAAAGAAGCACCGGCUAACUACGUG
Molecule: ribosomal RNA, 468 nt
Filed under: uncultured bacterium
Lineage: Bacteria
Description: partial 16S ribosomal RNA
Rfam family: Bacterial small subunit ribosomal RNA
Source: RNAcentral